This 2928-nucleotide ribosomal RNA is filed under the name Klebsiella michiganensis. RNAcentral's name for it is "23S ribosomal RNA". It matches the Rfam family "Bacterial large subunit ribosomal RNA". The record is from RNAcentral. Lineage: Bacteria; Pseudomonadati; Pseudomonadota; Gammaproteobacteria; Enterobacterales; Enterobacteriaceae.
GGGUUGUGAGGUUAAGCGACUAAGCGUACACGGUGGAUGCCCUGGCAGUCAGAGGCGAUGAAGGACGUGCUAAUCUGCGAAAAGCGUCGGUAAGGUGAUAUGAACCGUUAUAGCCGGCGAUGUCCGAAUGGGGAAACCCAGUGCAAUUCGUUGCACUAUCGUUUGAUGAAUACAUAGUCAAACGAGGCGAACCGGGGGAACUGAAACAUCUAAGUACCCCGAGGAAAAGAAAUCAACCGAGAUUCCCCCAGUAGCGGCGAGCGAACGGGGAGCAGCCCGGAGUCUGAAUCAGCUUGUGUGUUAGUGGAAGCGUCUGGAAAGUCGCAGGGUACAGGGUGAUACUCCCGUACACUAAAACACACAGGUUGUGAACUCGAAGAGUAGGGCGGGACACGUGGUAUCCUGUCUGAAUAUGGGGGGACCAUCCUCCAAGGCUAAAUACUCCUGACUGACCGAUAGUGAACCAGUACCGUGAGGGAAAGGCGAAAAGAACCCCGGCGAGGGGAGUGAAAAAGAACCUGAAACCGUGUACGUACAAGCAGUAGGAGCCCACUAGUUGGGUGACUGCGUACCUUUUGUAUAAUGGGUCAGCGACUUAUAUUCUGUAGCAAGGUUAACCGUAUAGGGGAGCCGCAGGGAAACCGAGUCUUAACUGGGCGUUAAGUUGCAGGGUAUAGACCCGAAACCCGGUGAUCUAGCCAUGGGCAGGUUGAAGGUUGGGUAACACUAACUGGAGGACCGAACCGACUAAUGUUGAAAAAUUAGCGGAUGACUUGUGGCUGGGGGUGAAAGGCCAAUCAAACCGGGAGAUAGCUGGUUCUCCCCGAAAGCUAUUUAGGUAGCGCCUCGUGAACUCAUCUUCGGGGGUAGAGCACUGUUUCGGCUAGGGGGUCAUCCCGACUUACCAACCCGAUGCAAACUACGAAUACCGAAGAAUGUUAUCACGGGAGACACACGGCGGGUGCUAACGUCCGUCGUGAAGAGGGAAACAACCCAGACCGCCAGCUAAGGUCCCAAAGUCAUGGUUAAGUGGGAAACGAUGUGGGAAGGCCCAGACAGCCAGGAUGUUGGCUUAGAAGCAGCCAUCAUUUAAAGAAAGCGUAAUAGCUCACUGGUCGAGUCGGCCUGCGCGGAAGAUGUAACGGGGCUAAACCAUGCACCGAAGCUGCGGCAGCGACGCUUAUGCGUUGUUGGGUAGGGGAGCGUUCUGUAAGCCGUUGAAGGUGGCCUGUGAGGGUUGCUGGAGGUAUCAGAAGUGCGAAUGCUGACAUAAGUAACGAUAAUGCGGGUGAAAAACCCGCACGCCGGAAGACCAAGGGUUCCUGUCCAACGUUAAUCGGGGCAGGGUGAGUCGACCCCUAAGGCGAGGCCGAAAGGCGUAGUCGAUGGGAAACAGGUUAAUAUUCCUGUACUCGGUGUUACUGCGAAGGGGGGACGGAGAAGGCUAUGUUGGCCGGGCGACGGUUGUCCCGGUUUAAGCAUGUAGGCGGAUGUUCCAGGUAAAUCCGGAACGUCACUAACGCUGAGGUGUGAUGACGAGGCACUACGGUGCUGAAGUGACAAAUGCCCUGCUUCCAGGAAAAGCCUCUAAGCAUCAGGUAACAUCAAAUCGUACCCCAAACCGACACAGGUGGUCAGGUAGAGAAUACCAAGGCGCUUGAGAGAACUCGGGUGAAGGAACUAGGCAAAAUGGUGCCGUAACUUCGGGAGAAGGCACGCUGAUGGUAGGUGAAGUGACUUGCUCAUGGAGCUGAAAUCAGUCGAAGAUACCAGCUGGCUGCAACUGUUUAUUAAAAACACAGCACUGUGCAAACACGAAAGUGGACGUAUACGGUGUGACGCCUGCCCGGUGCCGGAAGGUUAAUUGAUGGGGUUAUCCGUAAGGAGAAGCUCUUGAUCGAAGCCCCGGUAAACGGCGGCCGUAACUAUAACGGUCCUAAGGUAGCGAAAUUCCUUGUCGGGUAAGUUCCGACCUGCACGAAUGGCGUAAUGAUGGCCAGGCUGUCUCCACCCGAGACUCAGUGAAAUUGAACUCGCUGUGAAGAUGCAGUGUACCCGCGGCAAGACGGAAAGACCCCGUGAACCUUUACUAUAGCUUGACACUGAACACUGGUCCUUGAUGUGUAGGAUAGGUGGGAGGCUUUGAAGUGUGGACGCCAGUCUGCAUGGAGCCAUCCUUGAAAUACCACCCUUUAAUGGCUGGUGUUCUAACGUGGGCCCCUAAUCGGGGUUGCGGACAGUGUCUGGUGGGUAGUUUGACUGGGGCGGUCUCCUCCUAAAGAGUAACGGAGGAGCACGAAGGUCAGCUAAUCCUGGUCGGACAUCAGGAGGUUAGUGCAAUGGCAUAAGCUGGCUUGACUGCGAGCGUGACGGCGCGAGCAGGUGCGAAAGCAGGUCAUAGUGAUCCGGUGGUUCUGAAUGGAAGGGCCAUCGCUCAACGGAUAAAAGGUACUCCGGGGAUAACAGGCUGAUACCGCCCAAGAGUUCAUAUCGACGGCGGUGUUUGGCACCUCGAUGUCGGCUCAUCACAUCCUGGGGCUGAAGUAGGUCCCAAGGGUAUGGCUGUUCGCCAUUUAAAGUGGUACGCGAGCUGGGUUUAGAACGUCGUGAGACAGUUCGGUCCCUAUCUGCCGUGGGCGCUGGAGAAUUGAGGGGGGCUGCUCCUAGUACGAGAGGACCGGAGUGGACGCAUCACUGGUGUUCGGGUUGUCAUGCCAAUGGCAUUGCCCGGUAGCUAAAUGCGGAAGAGAUAAGUGCUGAAAGCAUCUAAGCACGAAACUUGCCCCGAGAUGAGUUCUCCCUGACUCCUUGAGAGUCCUGAAGGAACGUUGAAGACGACGACGUUGAUAGGCCGGGUGUGUAAGCGCAGCGAUGCGUUGAGCUAACCGGUACUAAUGAACCGUGAGGCUUAACCUUACAACGCCGAAG